Hippocampus comes (tiger tail seahorse) is the source of this 4438-nucleotide long non-coding RNA. RefSeq lists it as uncharacterized. The record is from RefSeq and is a predicted model, not a curated record. NCBI's taxonomy places the organism in Eukaryota, Metazoa, Chordata, Actinopteri, Syngnathiformes, Syngnathidae. The transcript is spliced from 2 exons.
CCGCAUUCUUUCGUCAUUCAAACUCAUAGCGCCGACAAGGGUGAGUGGUUCACGCGUGACAGAAUCAAUGAGCUUAAUUCAACAUACCGCAGACCAGAUAAAAAAUUGGAAGGAGUGAGGAAGUUGUGACACUUUUCAACCAUCCAUCAUCAAUUAAGAGGCAGGUUAUGUUGUAGGAAAUGGAAGCAAUGGAUAACCCAUUGACACGUUCCGGAAUAAUCUGUAUAAUAAUGUAAUAAUAUGCUAAAACGUAGACAAGGAUAAGAUCUUUGCGCAAAAAGGUUUAUUUACCGACAAAAAAGGCGCUAGAAUGACGCUCGUUCCAAAAACCAGGAAAAACGACACAAACCAAAAACGCUUGCAAAAGGCAAGGACAAAUGCAAAGUUGCUUGUCAUGAAAAGACGAGAAAACCCAGAACACAAAUAAUACAAGCCGAGAAAAAGAGGGAAACACAUACUACUUACUAUUAGCUAAUCCAAAAAACGUGGCGAAACUAAUACGUGGCAAGAACAAAAUUCGAACACUUUAAGACAGAAUCAUGAGCAGGGCGAAUAAUCCGACCAAGAGUAGACAACUUGGCAGUCCUUAUGUACUCGGGUGAUUGUGAUGCGUGACACGUGCACCGCUGGAGGCAACCACCCUCCAUUCCAGCCGACACUGAAAACCAAAACAAGCAAAAUCAUGACACCCAUCGCCAAAGAAUGCUUUCAUCAAACCUUGCGACCACUCGUUCUACAAACUAAGUCAGUUGGGAUCUGACCCAAAGCGGCAAGGUCAGACCACUUUCAGAGGCAAGCCAGACCAAAACAUGUUUGACCAUCGACUGAAUUUGACUCUAAAUAGACAUGGAUUUACCAGAAACGUCAUCAUCAUAUCAUUUGAGAAAAAGGUCAACAAACACAUCGGCCAACUUGCUUCAGCUGAAGAAUAGUUUCUUUUCAUCUGACAGAUUGGACGUAUUAAGUCUUCAGUCAGGGUCUCAGACCAGAUCUUAUGUGUCAAAUAACCAUCGACAUUAAUGUUCACAUCUAUGGACAAUUUAGAGUCUCGAAUUAAAAUAUCAUGCACGUCUUUGGAAUGUGGUACAAAGCCGUAGUAUGUGGCGAAAACUCAUGCAACCACGAGGGAGAACAUGAGACCAGGUCACACAAAAUCGUGCCUUUUCCUAAAUGGACCGUAUUCGGGUUUCUGGACAAAAUAGUCUCAUACUCUUCAGGUCUACAGUACUGCUGUUUUAUUUUUGAUUAAAUCUGUUUUUUUUUUUAUUUAAUCGUGGACAUGGACUUGGCAUCCCAGCCAAGACACGGUCAUGCCAAGCAAUCGGAGGAAUUGAAAAUGUCUAUCAAAAAUCUCCUCAGAAUGCAGUUAUUAAACAAAGCAGUGAGACAAAUUAGGUAGAGCAUGAUGAGAUUAGCCCAUCAAAGAAGUUUUGUUUUCCAUCUUUUUUUGUCGCUAUUACUGCAGGAGUACAAUACGGGCCAACAGCGUUCUCCGUUCCUCCGCUGUCAGAAUAAUUACACAAAAGUAGCUUCCUCCAAGGAGAAGUGUCUUCGGAGGCCAGCGGAAAAAGUGUGUCACAGAACCUCAAGUCAUUCAAAACAAAAUGUUCUGGACAGUUGCGCGUCGCCUUCUGCCCACUACUGGCCAUGCUGAAGGUCUGCGGUCUAUCUUGCUUAUAUCAAAAAACACACAAAAGAACCUAUCAAACUUCUUUGGAACUGCCGCUCUAACAGGAUAUCACGCUGGAGUGAAUAUCUUACCUGCGACCCUCCGUCCGCAGUGUCAGGCGAGCCAUCCUGGCGACCCAGUUCCUGUAGCCCGGGUAUGGCCGAGGACCCCGGUGACACUGUAGCUGUGUUCGGCACACACGCCACAGUGGGAUUACAGUGCGGUUAAUCACUGGACGUAUUGCCGGGGAGCAGGAGGAUGACAUAUUCCACAGAUGACAUGAAAUACUGUAUUAUUAAAGAGUGACUGUUAGAAAUUAAAAAGGGAUUGAGGGUGAACAUUAGUACCGCUUACUGCUGUGAAGACUAAUUCACAUUGAAAGAUUGAUGAACAACUCUUUAAAGAGAUUGUUUCUUUGCUUCAGUCUGCAUUUUCUCGCUGGCUUGGCAGCAUGAUCGGAAGACCACAGAAAGUAUGGAAGAGGCUAAGCGCUAAUUUAGCACCACUACAAAGUAAAGAUCCCUAGCAUGCUAGCUAGUGGCGAUGUCGGCGUAAAGAAACGCGACGCGCAUGGGCACAAACUGUUUUCCAACUUUUUUGUGUCAGCUGUGAUGAACUCGCACAUGUUCAAACUGAGCUUACGAAAACUUUGAGAGCUGUUUACAAAUGGUUGCAUUUUUGGGCACGGAAUAGGAACAAAAAGGCCAAACCAUUGCAAUUUUUAUCCAUUUUUCCGGAAAUACCGUCAACGCUUAGCUUUACCUCAAACUCUGGAGGAUAUAUUAACUUUAGGCAAAAUGGGAUAAAAUUGUUCCCUGAUGAGAAAUUUGAAUAUUCCCUUAUCACUUCCUCAUAGCAGUGCUAAUGCUCGUGCUAGUUUCCACACCUACAACCCAUGUGGUGCCUCGCAGAGGUGAGGUUGAGUGUGAGAGUUAUCAAAACAGGAAGUGGUGCAAUUGUUGUCUCAGCAAAAAUUGAGCGGAAGAAUGGGAUUUCUGUACGGAACACAAACCAGCUGGCAGGAAACCACUUUUUUUUUUUUCGUAUCAUUCUUCAAGCUUUGAUUUCCUAUCAUGGGAAGUGUCCUCACACUGCUUUCCUUGGCUUGCUGUCUCCAAACUCGUCUCAGGCCUUCAAACCGUUGCCUCCCUUUUUGUGCGUGCGCGCGAAUCAAUUGUGCACCACGCCAUGACAGGGAAUCAUCCAAACUGCCUGCCACGGCAUAUAACGGCAGCGAUGUAGAACUGGCCCAGGGGCCUGGAGAGAUCAUGGGUGGAAAAUGCGAGGCACUCUCUCAUGACAGUGUUGAAAGAUUGUUUAUCGACAGGGCUCACAAAAAGCAAAGGGGAGCACGAAUAAAAGACAAGGCGAGAGAAAACAGCUGGCGAACGAGAAUGUAAAUAAUUUCCCACUUGAUGGGUGACGGGAGUUGAUUAAAUAAUAAUUGCGCGAGCCAAUCAACAUACGGAGGCUCUGUGAUCCUCCCACCCCUCUUCGCCCAGCGGGAUGCCGCUAUUGUGCACUUUUGAAAAAGUUGAUGGAGAGCUGUUUUGAUCAAUUGAGAUCUGGUUUCCAGAACACAAAAGGAAGCCUUUUACAAGUCACAGUUUUUACCUGUAAAUGGAUAACAACGGUGGCUGUUUAUGCUUUCACAUGGAAUCUCACACUCAGAUACUGAGAUCCGUGACAUGAGGUAGUAUAUGGUGGGACAUAUACAGAACAUGUCCGACAGCGACAUUUGCUUUCACAACAAAGCUGAAGUCAAUUUAUGGUGUUAAAUGUCAUAUCCCAGUCGGAUUUCCGCUUUCCCUUUUCACACGGGGCACUGUCCUUGCUUCUCUUAGGCCUCUGCAAAGCCGUAUCAUCCUCGUUCCAUUCUGAAGCAAUAGUUUUGUUUUUUUUCCACAGGCAGUAUGAAGUGCAAAUUAUGAUAUCGCAAAACUUGAAGCAUGCGAGUUGAGUGUCACAUCUAAGAGAACUGUAGCGUCGGUGCUUAGAAGACUUCUCCAAGAAAGUGGACAGUUUCUGCACUGCUAAUGUGUCCAGUGAAGUCGUAUAUUACAAUUAGCCAAGUCAAAUUCUAAACCAAAUAAAUCAAAAACAAAACACUUUCUAAAAGACAGUUUUAAGAACACAGCCAGACGGUUUGGAUGUGCAAAAGGUUUCUUUUACAAAGGACCACCGACGACAGCUGGCUCUGCAUGUGUGAAUGAGGAUUGUUUUGAUAACGCCGGCAUCUUACUGGAAACUCUUUGAGCCUAUUUUAAUUGGUCAUUCCGGUGCAAACAGAUGUAGAAAGAAGCACAUGUGAACAUUGUACAACAUUUUAGAUUGGGAUGUUGUUGAGUUUCAGGUUAUGCUAUGAAUUCUGCAGGUACUGGGAGAGAUCUCACGAAGAGGUAUGCGAUGAUUUAGUCACUGGACUCGCUGAACACUGAAACAAAUUCUGAGUCAUUCCCCAUUCUAUCCAAAUUCUGUGAAAAACUCUAACCAAAUGAAAUCUGGUAUGCCCAACUGCACUGUUGUUUUCACAAAAAAACAAAUAUAGCAAAGCAAAAGAAUGCAAAGUCAAAAUAGAACACAUUGCCAUAUAAGUAUAGGUUUGUUAAACAAGUUAUACUUCCCUUGUCUUCAACCUAUUUUUGUAUACGUCAACAAGCAGAUUACACAUUACGUUUGAAACAUUCCAAUUUGCAAGCUAUGAUCACAUACAAAUGUUUGUGUUUUUUUUCUCCACCGUUUGUAGUCUGAAGGUCUGUUGUGCAAGGU